GACGUAGGAGGCGAGCGUUGUCCGGAUUCAUUGGGCGUAAAGAGCGCGCAGGCGGCUUGGUAAGUCGGAUGUGAAAUCCCGAGGCUCAACCUCGGGUCUGCAUCCGAUACUGCCCGGCUAGAGGUAGGUAGGGGAGAUCGGAAUUCCUGGUGUAGCGGUGAAAUGCGCAGAUAUCAGGAGGAACACCAAUAGCGAAGGCAGCUCGCUGGGACGGUACUGACGCUAAGGCGCGAAAGCGUGGGGAGCAAACAGG
This 253-nucleotide ribosomal RNA is filed under the name uncultured bacterium. RNAcentral's name for it is "partial 16S ribosomal RNA". It matches the Rfam family "Bacterial small subunit ribosomal RNA", at positions 524 to 776 of the family's 1533-position model. The record is from RNAcentral.